This 917-nucleotide long non-coding RNA is filed under the name Anser cygnoides (Swan goose). RNAcentral describes it as "lncRNA (ENSACDG00005002067.1)". The record is from RNAcentral. Lineage: Eukaryota; Metazoa; Chordata; Aves; Anseriformes; Anatidae.
ACAACUAGUGCCAGACGAAGCUUGCUUUCACCCUAGAAGAGAAGAUCUCUCAGAGUUGGAGAUGGCAAUUUCCAGUCCUAAGAAAUGGAUUCUAACCUGUAAAUCCUACCCACUCUCGAGGACUCUUGAAGUGCCCUGGUUCUGGCAGUGGGAAGAAGACCCUGUCCACACUAGUCCCCCUCACUUGCACAGAGGGGGACCCCAGACAACUCUGCCUGCAGGCCGCCCAUCUCGGCAGUACCGUUUUCUUAAGCAUCAAGGCUUUUCCAGGGGUAAGCAGCCCACCUUUAUUGGCUUUGCAGUGACAGCAUUUAUUUUCAGUCUUGUUUUCAGGGGAAUGUACCUUCAUACAUUCUUCACUGAUGCUCAGAUACGUGUAAGAGCAAAGUGGGAAUCAAGUAAGGCUUCUUUAUCUCGUGAAGCUGCAUUGCAAGCUGCUGAAGCCUUGAGCUUCUUCCAGCAUUGUCUGCAAAGACAGCAGCUUUUGGGGCUGAGUUUAGAGCCUGAGUGAACUCCUGGGGGUCCUUUUCCCCAGGAGCUGUGCACAUGGUGAGUUUUAUGCCAAUACAGUUCCCGUGCUGGCAUCUGGUACCACACUGCCACGUGCUCGUCAGUGGAAGGGGGGAACGGGUGUCAGGCAGCAUUAGUGUUUCCUGCCAUUCAAAGCUGAAGGAGUUUAUUACAGUAUGUGACAGGAGCUGUUCUCGUGUGCCUUUGGUUGCAGAUGUGGCCACAGGUGCUGGCUCUGCAUCUCUUCAGUGGAAUCCUGAUUCUGAGUCUUGGAGAGGUCACCUGGGUACAUUGGCUCUAUAUAUUUCAUGAGGGAGCUGCCAGGCUACACCCAGGAGGUCAACCCAGCCACUCUGCAGGCAUUUCUUAGGAAGCUGUUUAUUGCAGCAUUUCACACUAGCUUUCUU